RNAcentral lists this long non-coding RNA (853 nucleotides) under Homo sapiens (human). RNAcentral describes it as "non-protein coding lnc-PPDPFL-2:7". The record is from RNAcentral. Lineage: Eukaryota; Metazoa; Chordata; Mammalia; Primates; Hominidae.
AGAAGAAGACUAGGUCUGUCAAGGCUAUACAGAAACUGUCCAACACUUGGACUUUGCACUGUUGCUGAAUGUGGUUAUUAGCUCCGAGAGUUUUUUUUUUAAUAUUUUGGGGUUUUCUUUAUAAAGGAUAGAUCAUCUACAAAUACUUCUUGCUUUUCAAUUUAGAUGAUGUUUCCUUUCCUGCCCAAUUUAUCUGGUUAAAACGUCUGAUACACUGUUGAAUAGAAGAGGCAAGGGCACAUGUUCAUGUCUUGUUCCUGAUAUUGGGAGAAAGCAUCCCGUUUUUCACCACAGAAACGGGGUUUCACCAUGUUAGCCAAGAUGGUCUCGAUCUCCUGACCUCGCGAUCCGCCCGCCUUGGCCUCCCAAAGUGCUGGGAUUAUGCAUUCUCUCUUUACAUCACAAUGACCAUGACCUUGGAUAUGGAGUCCACUCAAAAGUAAUCUGAACUAAUAAACAAAUUCUGCAAGGUUGAAGAAUACAAGGAGAUAUGGAAUCACCAAAGAAUACUGACACAGAAGAACCAAGUAGGAGAGUGUGCAAUUCCCAGUCUCAUAUCUCAUUACAAAACCAAACUAAACAAGGCAUUGGCACAAGAAUAGACAUACAGAUCAAUGGAACAGAACUGAGACCCCAGAAAUAAAACCAAGUGGUCAGCUGACUUUUUGAAAGCUUGCCAAGACCAUCAAAUGGGGAAAAAUUUUUUUAAUAUACGUUGCAGGGAUAAUUGGAUAUAAACAUCCAAAAGAAUGAACUUGGAUGCUUAUCUUGCACCAUAUGCAAAAAUAACUGAAAAUGAAUUCAAGGCUAUAACUAUUAACUCAGAAAAAAAAAAUGAGCUGCAUUUUCAUGA